CGUUUUGCUGAUGGCGACCGGCGCACGGGUGAGUAACGCGUACGCGACCUACCUUCAAGAGGGGGAUAGCCCUGGGAAACCGGGAUUAAUACCCCAUGUGGUCACCGGAAUACCUGUUUUGGUGAUUAAAGCCUUCGGGUGCUUGAAGAUGGGCGUGCGUCCUAUUAGGUAGUUGGUGAGGUAACGGCUCACCAAGCCAUCGAUAGGUAGGGGGCGUGAGAGCGUGACCCCCCACACGGGUACUGAGACACGGACCCG
RNAcentral lists this ribosomal RNA (258 nucleotides) under uncultured bacterium. RNAcentral describes it as "partial 16S ribosomal RNA". It matches the Rfam family "Bacterial small subunit ribosomal RNA", at positions 77 to 334 of the family's 1533-position model. The record is from RNAcentral.